This is a long non-coding RNA of Monomorium pharaonis (pharaoh ant), 1817 nucleotides long. RefSeq lists it as uncharacterized. The record is from RefSeq and is a predicted model, not a curated record. Lineage: Eukaryota; Metazoa; Arthropoda; Insecta; Hymenoptera; Formicidae. The transcript has 4 exons.
AUUAUCCCGAGCUACCCUGCGCUUCGAGUCGUGCGUCGUCUCCCGCACACUCCACUCCAGUGACGAAGUAGUGCUUUUCAAGUAAAAGCGAACUUUGCGUGCAGGAAAACUCAGAAUCAUUGGUGUUCCACGAAGAACCACCCAAGUACCUGAUUGACGUUUACAUCUGUGUUUCUCCCCUACUGAAACUUUCUGGCUCAGACGAUUUCAUCACCUAGGCAUCAAAAUGUAUUUUCUACAUUCGCAAACUUCGCAGUUGGAUAUCUUUUCUGCCAACGCGUUGCCAUUUCUUAUGAGGAUCAAAUCGAUAAAACAUAGUAUAUGCUAAGAAAAUGUUUCGUAUAUAAUUAAUAGACCGAUCGAUAUAGAAUCAAGACAAAAAAAUAUCAUCAUGCGAUUAUUCGCAACAAAUGAUAUAACGCGGAUUUUAGCGAUCAUUAUACUUGAACUUAGUUUUGACAUGUUCGGGCAAAAUGAAUAUCACCACGUUAUUCUACCAAAAAACCAAAAGAAUUCUGCCUCUGACUACCGAACGACAAUAUUAACACAAGCAAAAAAAGCCAGCAGUUUCUACAAAGCGUUAAAACCGACUGUAACGUGCAGUAGUCAGAGACAGAAUCACUGCCUCUGACCGAGGUUUGUGGAUGUUCGGUAAGUAAUCUGUAGCAUCUUGGUAAGUUACCGUUGGUGCAAUUCAAAAACCUGUAAGUACCACCCUCAUCAAUAAUCCCGUUCGUAUGCCACGAUUUAAUUAGAUUAUUGGGCUUAUUAGUGAUAAUCUUAAUAACAUCAAUUUGCAAAAAGAUACUUAAAAUCUUAAUGCUAUGUACGACAUAUUUAUAAGAAUUGUGUAAUUACUUCUGACUAGUUAUUUUUAACCAUAUCUUUAAUUUAUGUUAUUGUAUUAAUGUUGUUAAACUUGACAUUCUCACUUUCAACGAUCCUCUUUCCAAUGACAAAAGUUGUGGAGUACAGACAUACUUUCCAACACGUAUCCCAAAACAACACUUAAUGUACUUUUGCGAAUUUGUAAUAGAUUAAUAUUCGAUGUGAUCAACGUAAUUUAUACAAGCAAGUAUUGAUAUUAAUUAAAAUCUCUUAUUUUGUAAUGACAGUUUUGUGAAUUAUUCCGUGAUUUAUACGUUUUUUGUAAAUUGUAGAUACACUUAAUAAGGGCCAGAAAUCGGCCGAAAUAUUGUGUAACUUUUCAACAUUUGAAAUAAAAUUGCCAGAAUUGUCAUUAAAUUGCCAUUCAAAAAAAAAAGACUUUGUUGCCCUAAAAGAUUAUGUAUUAUAUAUUGAAUUAGGCUCUAAUAAUCGGAAAUGUAGCUGAUGCUCUUCCUCUUCUCUUUCCACCGCUCCCAUUCUCUUUAUUCCUCUUUCCUGUUUCCAUUCCGUUUAAGUAAGAUAAGUAAUUGGACACUCGAAAGUAGUUGGAUGAAAUGUUUUUACGUUCGUUUCACUGUCAUCAAUCUUACGUACAUAAAUAAUUUGAUAUUAUAAAGUUCAUGAUUUUCUAAUAUAAUAUCCACAAUUUUCAGGCGAAUUGUGUACUGCGAAAUGUGUAGUACUGCACAAAAUGUAGUAGUACCUACAAAUAUUAAUUUCUAUGUUUAAAGAUAAUGACCACAUUAAACAUAUCCGCUUAGGCUUAAUUUAGUGUUUCGUAUUAAGGAAUUGUUUUUGAUACUUUACAAUACAAUCCAGAGGGAGCCGAAAUCGUGGCUUAUCGAUUCUCCUUUUUAAAUUAUAUCUUCAAUAUUUAAAGAUUACAAUAAAUUUAUGUUAUUCUUUGAACAGUCUAAAACUACACCUAA